RNAcentral lists this transfer RNA (79 nucleotides) under Priestia megaterium. RNAcentral's name for it is "Bacillus megaterium tRNA-Tyr". It matches the Rfam family "tRNA". Rfam says of the family: Transfer RNA (tRNA) molecules are approximately 80 nucleotides in length. Their secondary structure includes four short double-helical elements and three loops (D, anti-codon, and T loops). The record is from RNAcentral. Lineage: Bacteria; Bacillati; Bacillota; Bacilli; Caryophanales; Bacillaceae.
GGAGGGGUAGCGAAGUGGCUAAACGCGGCGACUGUAAAUCCGCUCUUCGGGUUCGGCAGUUCGAAUCUGCCCUCCACCA